This 1138-nucleotide unclassified non-coding RNA is filed under the name Hevea brasiliensis (rubber tree). Lineage: Eukaryota; Viridiplantae; Streptophyta; Magnoliopsida; Malpighiales; Euphorbiaceae. The record is from RNAcentral.
UGCAACAGGAGGCAUACAUUCCAACAGUAGCAUUCUGGGACAAAGAAGAUAACUUCAACUGCUGAUACUAUAAAGUUGGAGAACUUCUCAAUAGAUAUAAUAUAAACUCAUAAUCCAGCUACAUUCGAUACACAAAAUGGAUACAUACAACCGUUUUAUUGGCGCUGAAAAGCUCCAAAAACUACAACGGAAGCGUUGGGAGAGAGCAGUAGUCCGGUGGGAGGUCGAAUUCACCAGAAACACAAUGCUUCCAACAAAACUUGAAUCCACCAGUACACAAUGUUCCUAGAGUCCUCUAAAGUUCAUCCUUUGCUGAAUCGACUUUGGCAGAGUCUGACUGAGCAGGCUUGCCACGAUUCUUCUCGAUGAAUUCGAUGAUAGCCUCUUUUGUUCUCUCACCAUUGUACUGUGACAAGUUACCAGAGGCGGAUCUGAAGUACAUAGUAGGGAAUCCCUGAACAUCAAAGUCACCUUUCGGGAGAUCAUUUGCGGUUGCGUCCAGUUUUGCAAUGAGAACAUCAGGAUCGCUUUCAAAUGAUACAGCCACUUCAUCCAAAAUUGGAGCCAGACUCUUGCAGUGGCCACACCAAGGUGCAUAGAACUCUAACAGCACAUUUUUUCCCGAUUUGUAAACCAUAUCCUGGAGGGUAUCCCUAACAACCACCUUAACAGGUUCGUCAUUGACUUCAGGGAUGGGCUCUGACUUCACAUGUGGCUUCAGUUUUCCUUCCUUGUAAUCCUUCAAGUAAGCAGCAAUGGCAUCAGGUUCCACAUGGUCCUUAAUAUACUUUUGUUCAUCAGCGUCCAUUAUGAUGAUCACAGGUGCCUGUUCCGGCUUCAGUCCGAAGUACUCAAAAGCACCUUGACCAGCCUCAACAUCACCCAAGAGAAAGCUCACCCCAUCCCCUUUGUAAAUCACAGCAACAUCGUUGUACUUGGACUUAAAAGCAUCAAAUUCAGAGCUAAAGUUCACAAAUAGCAAUGCCUUGGCGUUGGUGCCUUCGAAGAACUUGUUAACAUAAGGAUGGUUGUUUGGGUCAUUGUCAAAAAUAGUAACAACAGGAAUACUAGAUUCUGAGAUGAACUUCUCCAUUGCAUCGACAUCAAAGUCCUCAAAAUCAACAAAGAGUUCAUCAAA